This 94-nucleotide ribosomal RNA is filed under the name Plasmopara halstedii. RNAcentral's name for it is "partial 28S ribosomal RNA". The record is from RNAcentral. Lineage: Eukaryota; Oomycota; Peronosporomycetes; Peronosporales; Peronosporaceae.
UUCCAGUGUCUAUAAUCCGUGGUAUAUCACAUCGGCGAGCGUGUGCGUGUGUGUGCUGUUGUAGUGGCCUUUUGGUUACGCUCGGCGUAUGUGC